This 1070-nucleotide ribosomal RNA is filed under the name Salmonella enterica subsp. enterica serovar Orientalis. Its description in RNAcentral is "partial 23S ribosomal RNA". It matches the Rfam family "Bacterial large subunit ribosomal RNA", at positions 711 to 1773 of the family's 2925-position model. The record is from RNAcentral. Lineage: Bacteria; Pseudomonadati; Pseudomonadota; Gammaproteobacteria; Enterobacterales; Enterobacteriaceae.
AGACCCGAAACCCGGUGAUCUAGCCAUGGGCAGGUUGAAGGUUGGGUAACACUAACUGGAGGACCGAACCGACUAAUGUUGAAAAAUUAGCGGAUGACCUGUGGCUGGGGGUGAAAGGCCAAUCAAACCGGGAGAUAGCUGGUUCUCCCCGAAAGCUAUUUAGGUAGCGCCUCGUGAAUUCAUCUCCGGGGGUAGAGCACUGUUUCGGCUAGGGGGCCAUCCCGGCUUACCAACCCGAUGCAAACUGCGAAUACCGGAGAAUGUUAUCACGGGAGACACACGGCGGGUGCUAACGUCCGUCGUGAAGAGGGAAACAACCCAGACCGCCAGCUAAGGUCCCAAAGUCAUGGUUAAGUGGGAAACGAUGUGGGAAGGCCCAGACAGCCAGGAUGUUGGCUUAGAAGCAGCCAUCAUUUAAAGAAAGCGUAAUAGCUCACUGGUCGAGUCGGCCUGCGCGGAAGAUGUAACGGGGCUAAACCAUGCACCGAAGCUGCGGCAGCGACGCUUAUGCGUUGUUGGGUAGGGGAGCGUUCUGUAAGCCUGUGAAGGUGGCCUGUGAGGGUUGCUGGAGGUAUCAGAAGUGCGAAUGCUGACAUAAGUAACGAUAAAGCGGGUGAAAAGCCCGCUCGCCGGAAGACCAAGGGUUCCUGUCCAACGUUAAUCGGGGCAGGGUGAGUCGACCCCUAAGGCGAGGCCGAAAGGCGUAGUCGAUGGGAAACGGGUUAAUAUUCCCGUACUUGGUGUUACUGCGAAGGGGGGACGGAGAAGGCUAUGUUGGCCGGGCGACGGUUGUCCCGGUUUAAGCGUGUAGGUGUGUGUUCCAGGUAAAUCCGGUUCACUUUAACACUGAGGCGUGACGACGAGGCACUACGGUGCUGAAGCAACAAAUGCCCUGCUUCCAGGAAAAGCCUCUAAGCAUCAGGUAACAUCAAAUCGUACCCCAAACCGACACAGGUGGUCAGGUAGAGAAUACCAAGGCGCUUGAGAGAACUCGGGUGAAGGAACUAGGCAAAAUGGUGCCGUAACUUCGGGAGAAGGCACGCUGACAUGUAGGUGAAGUGAUUUACUCA